UACGGAGGGGGCGAUCGUUACACGGAUUUACUGGGUGAGAAGGCCGUAUGGCCGGUCUCUCAAGUCCGAUGCUAUAGACCGAGGCUGAACCUCGGGAGUGCGUUGGAUACUGUGAGGCUAGACGGUCGGAGAGGGCAGCGGAAUUCUCGGAGUAGCGGUGAAUUGCGCAGAUACCGAGAGGAACGCGAAUAGCGAUGACAGCUGUUUGGACGAUUUGUGGCGCUGAGGUGCGAGAGCGUGGGCAGCAUGCAGG
Molecule: ribosomal RNA, 253 nt
Filed under: uncultured bacterium
Lineage: Bacteria
Description: partial 16S ribosomal RNA
Rfam family: Bacterial small subunit ribosomal RNA
Source: RNAcentral